This 863-nucleotide long non-coding RNA is filed under the name Salmo salar (Atlantic salmon). RNAcentral's name for it is "lncRNA (ENSSSAG00000114856.1)". The record is from RNAcentral. Lineage: Eukaryota; Metazoa; Chordata; Actinopteri; Salmoniformes; Salmonidae.
CUGGAAUAUUUCAAUUUUGGAGAAUCUCUUAAAUAAUGGGUUAAAGUUAUGUAUAGUAACCCCAGGUGUAUAAUAGUAAAUAAUGGCUACAUCUUAGAAAGUUUUAUAUUGUCAAGAGGAGUAAAACAAGGUUAACUAUCGUCAUAUAUAUGAAAGUGUUAGCUGUUCAAUUAGAUCCAACAAUAACAUUAAGGGAUUCGAAAUCCAUGGCUUAAAAUCAGAGGUGUCAUUGUAUGCUGAUGAUUCAUGUUUUCUUUUAAAACCACAAUCAGAAUCCCUCCACAGCCUCAUAGAGGAUCUAGGUACUUUUUAUAACCUCUCUGGAUUAAAACCAAAUUAUGAUAAAAUUACAUUUUGGAUCACACAAAAAAUUCAACAUUUAUAUUACCGUAUAGUUUACCAGUAAAAUGGUCUAACACGGAUGUGGACAUACUCGGUAUACAUAUCCCGAAAGAAAGAAAUGAUCUCUCUCCAAUAAAUGACCUGAGCCCUAGGACCAUGCCUCAGGACUACCUGGCAUGAUGACUUCUUGCUGUUCCCAGUCCACCUGGCCAUGCUGCUGCUCCAGUUUCAACUGUUCAACUGGCUAUGGAACCCUGACCUGUUCACCGGACGUGCUUGUUGCACCCUCGACAACUACUAUGAUUAUUAUUAUUUGACCAUGCUGGUCAUUUAUGAACAUUUUAACAUCUUGACCAUGUUCUGUUAUAAUAUCCACCCGGCACAGCCAGAAGAGGACUGGCCACCCCUCAUAGCCUGGUUCCUCUCUAGGAUUCUUCCUAGGUUUUUGGCCUUUCUAAGGAGUUUUUCCUAGGGAGUUUUUCCUAGCCACCGUGCUUCUUUCACAUGCAUUGCUUGCUGUU